GAAAAUGAUGAGAUACAUCUGGAAUCUCGUUCGUCUGAACUCCUGUUGAGAAAUAAAAUAUCUGACAUCA
This 70-nucleotide small nucleolar RNA is filed under the name Stegastes partitus (bicolor damselfish). Its description in RNAcentral is "Small nucleolar RNA SNORD30 (ENSSPAG00000017370.1)". It matches the Rfam family "Small nucleolar RNA SNORD30". Rfam says of the family: U30 is a member of the C/D class of snoRNA which contain the C (UGAUGA) and D (CUGA) box motifs. U30 is encoded within the U22 snoRNA host gene (UHG) in mammals and is thought to act as a 2'-O-ribose methylation guide for ribosomal RNA. The record is from RNAcentral. Lineage: Eukaryota; Metazoa; Chordata; Actinopteri; Pomacentridae.